Non-coding RNA from Caenorhabditis elegans, 108 nucleotides. The record is from Ensembl. NCBI's taxonomy places the organism in Eukaryota, Metazoa, Nematoda, Chromadorea, Rhabditida, Rhabditidae.
GAAAAAGGCAAUUAAUCUAGCACCGACCUUCACCCGGAAUGCGCCGACAGCGCCAGGCUAAGAACAACGAGAACAAUGAUAAAUUGUCAGCUGUGUUUAUGGGCCAUU